AUGGCUCAGGACGAACGCUGGCGGCGUGCUUCAUACAUGCAAGUCGAACGAGAAAUCAACUUCGGUUGGUGGAAAGUGGCGGACGGGUGAGUAAUAUGUAGAGAAUCUGCCCUAGAGAUGGGGACAACAGUUGGAAACGACUGCUAAUACCCAAUAUGAGCGUAGCUGAGAUGCUAUUCUUGAAAACUCCGGUGCUCUGGGAUGAGUCUGCAUCUGAUUAGCUAGUUGGCGGUGUAAUGGACCACCAAGGCGACGAUCAGUAGCUGGUUUGAGAGGAUGAUCAGCCACAAUGGGACUGAGACACGGCCCAUACUCCUACGGGAGGCAGCAGUAGGGAAUUUUGCGCAAUGGGCGAAAGCCUGACGCCAGCAACGCCGCGUGAUUGAUGAAGCCCUUCGGGGUGUAAAGAUCUGUCAGUGGGGACGAAACUUGACGGUACCCACAGAGGAAGCACCGGCUAACUCCGUGCCAGCCGCCGC
This 479-nucleotide ribosomal RNA is filed under the name uncultured bacterium. Its description in RNAcentral is "bacterial SSU rRNA". It matches the Rfam family "Bacterial small subunit ribosomal RNA", at positions 19 to 518 of the family's 1533-position model. The record is from RNAcentral.